Molecule: ribosomal RNA, 301 nt
Filed under: uncultured bacterium
Lineage: Bacteria
Description: partial 16S ribosomal RNA
Rfam family: Bacterial small subunit ribosomal RNA
Source: RNAcentral
CAGUCGCCGCGGGAAUACGAAGGGGGCUAGCGUUGUUCGGAAUUACUGGGCGUAAAUCGCACGUAGGCGGACAUUUAAGUCAGGGGUGAAAUCCCGGGGCUCAACCCCGGAACUGCCUUUGAUACUGGGUGUCUAGAGUAUGGAAGAGGUGAGUGUAAUUCCGAGUGUAGAGGUGAAAUUCGUAGAUAUUCGGAGGAACACCAGUGGCGAAGGCGGCUCACUGGUCCAUUACUGACGCUGAGGUGCGAAAGCGUGGGGAGCAAACAGGAUUAGAUACCCCUGUAGUCCCUGUCUCUUAUAC